UUCAUAUCAUAUGUAGGUUUACCUUGACCUAAUUUCCUUAUUUUUAUACUGUACCAACUUAUUUCUUCAAAUUCUAGAUGCAAACUGUCAGUUAUUCCAACAAGUUGACUUAGCGCGCUCAGUCGAUUUCCAUCCAUUAGGCCCAUCAUGCUGUCAAAAGCCUAAAACUCAUGUUUGAAGUACACAUAUAUUGGAAUAAAAAUGUGCCGAGAUAAGGAUCUUUUCUGAAUCUCGCCUAUUUUGGUGGCGUACCCUGCAACAGCAUGUUUAUUGUUAUGGCUGAUUUUACUUCUGUUUAGAAGGCAACUCUAGAAACUCAAAGCGAAAGCAGCAAACUAAGAGAUAGAGUUUCAGAGACAUGAAGAGUGUGAAGUGACCUGCCAUGUAUGUACCAGAUCUCCUUUAUGAAAGUCAAAUGCCUUAUUAAAUUCAUCACCCAUUUGAUAAAGCAUCAGGAAAUUUAUCUCAACAUGUGAAGUAAUGCU
This is a long non-coding RNA of Daphnia pulicaria, 485 nucleotides long. RefSeq lists it as uncharacterized. Lineage: Eukaryota; Metazoa; Arthropoda; Branchiopoda; Diplostraca; Daphniidae. The transcript is spliced from 4 exons. The record is from RefSeq and is a predicted model, not a curated record.